Molecule: long non-coding RNA, 2493 nt
Organism: Populus euphratica (Euphrates poplar)
Lineage: Eukaryota; Viridiplantae; Streptophyta; Magnoliopsida; Malpighiales; Salicaceae
Exons: 3
Source: RefSeq, a predicted model, not a curated record
UCGUGUUGCUUAUUGGAGAAAAUUUGUUGCUGAGUAUUAUGCUUCUUGUGCUAAGAAACGAUGGUGCUAGAUUUCAUGCCAUUGGUGUGUUCUCCCAGGCAGAUGUGGUCAGCUGUCAGUACUUUUUUCCAGCGUCGAAAUACUGAUAUUUGUGACAUAUUUUUUAUUAUCCACCAUAAACAUAAAUAGAUGCACACACUUGUUUCAGUUCUUUGUGCAUAAUACCCCCUAUACCCAUUCCAUAUAAUCUUUCCUCACUCCUUAUCCUAUUUGUUCCCUGUUUUUUUUUUUUCCUUUCCCAGGCUACAUGGCAUUGUGACUUGAGCUGGGCCAAAUCUGGGGGGGGAUUUGGUAAGCAAAUCAGCACUACAUUUUUUUCAGUCAGUCAAUAUGUUGCUUUCUAAAACAAAAAACAGUUCAUCAUUGCUAUGUUGCUAAAAUUUUGUAAAUUAUUAUGUCGACCUUCAUCAGCCACUGACUGUCUAAAUUCGCUACUGUUGGAGACCCUCAUGUCUCACUUAAAAGCUUGAGUAUUAGCUGAAGGCUAAAGUUCUAUAUUCUUAACAGUUUGCCAUGGAACAUUUUAUCAUUUUUUUUUCUUUAAAUUCUUGGAAGAGGAAACAUUUGAAGUACUUUCCAGGUUGAAUAAGAAGCAGAAAGGGAGACUGUUAAUGACCAGCUUCAUGUUGUUCAUGAGGGUAAACUUAGUAUCAUUAUUGUUCAUAAUUUAAAGAUACUUUCCUGGGAAUUUUGUUCAAGGGACCUUGAAGAGCUGUGUUGCCUUGAAGUUCAAUUCUAUCUAAGGUUAAUGAGCUGGUUUAUGCUUCAAAAAAGUAUCGAUCCACCAUUGAUGAUAUUGGAUCAGAUAGUAUAUCACCAUUUGAUUUACAAGAAAAUUGCAACAUAUAAGAAACUCUUUUUAUUUCCUGCAGUUACUAGCUCCAUGAAAUGAAUUGGUCAAGCAUGUAUCCAUGUAUGUAAUUUCGAGCAGCAAACAAAUUACACCCACACUUUUUUCGUAUUGUGUUCUCUUGAUAGUUACCGUGGUCUCAAUUUUUCAAUCUUCAAGUCAUAUUUGAAAAACUUGUUUUUGGAAAUGAUAUUAUAAAAACUUAAAUGAAUCUUGUUCGUCAUGUAGGCCAUUAUCAGCUUGGUCUGAGAGAAAUUUGGACUUGUGCUUGCCCGUGUGCGGAGGGAAUUUGUUUUGAUUUGUCUAACAGUCAUCUAAAUCCUACUCAGGAUCUCAUGUAUUCUGGGUUCAUUGCUUGACAGAUUGUUGACAUAUUCGACUGUAUGAAAGACUUGAGGACUUUCAGGUGGGAUAAUAAAAUUGAACCGAUCGGUAAGUGAUAUCUACUUUAUUAUGCAUUUGAGUGUCAUCUUAAAAGGAGACAACUGAAAACCCUUGGAAGUAGCUGCUUGAACCCUCUAAAUCUCUGUUUCUUCUGAUAUUGCCUUGUAAACUUUAAUUUAUUUACUUGUUAAAGCAGUGGCCAAUGGAUUCUUGCAAAGUCAUUUCUCAAAACUCUAAAACACAGAGAGCUUGAAGAAAUAUUCCCAAAAAUUAUCCACAACCAAACUCCAGAAAGAUCAAUCGCAAGAAAACGAUCAGCUUGGGGUCCCUCAAUGUUUUCCAACUGACCCAAAUAAGUUGUCUACUUCUCAUUUCCUUUUGGAAACAGCAAUGAUAACUCGAUUAUGAGCAAGGGUGGACUAUUGAAUAGCUCUGAUAUGGGCGUCACUGUAUAUUUCCGAAGUUUUGCUUUAGCUCAAAUGUGGGUAAACUGGAGCGGCCAUCCCUUUUAUACGAGAGGUGUGAAAGAAGUGCAUCUUCCACACCAUCUCAAGCUCCCAAGACUUUGAGUAUUCAUGCAGCGUGGGCAUUUCUCUGUCUCCAAUCCUGCGGAGGUAGCCAGCAUUGACUGGAGCAUGCAGUCCAAAUUUUGCUUGAGGAGAACAUCAUUAGGGCCCAGGACAAAGCAGUUAGCUCUAAGAUUGAUGAUAUUGUAUCUGGCUUGCAAACAGGUGCCAAGAGCAAGAUGCUGCAACGGAUGGGAUGACUUUUGAUCACAAAACAUUAGUUGCUGUUGCUUCAGGAAUGCAUCAAGUGGUGUUGUGGAAAAUACCUGGGGCCGGGUUCAUGGUUGUCUCUAAUGCGGAUUCUCAUACUUGGUGACAAUCCUAGUUUCAUCAACUUUGUACAGUCGUUAGUUUUCUGAGAUCCUGAAAAUGCUUUUCAUGGAUAUAUUAUUCUUAUAUGAAGUGGCAGCAUGAACUAUAUGGUUGGGAUAAUCGUAAGUUUUUGUUUUUGGGUACUUUUUGUUCCAUCGUUCUGGGUAAUGACUCAAUAGAAGAUACAAAUAGAGCCUUAAAAGAGUUUCUUUCCUCAAGCCCGUUUGAUUAUAGUUACAGUUGGGAUAAUCGUAAGCUUGAUGAUGUAGAUUAUAUGCUGUAAUGUCGACAUGAACUAAUAGCUAUCCCAAAGUCUAAACC